Molecule: ribosomal RNA, 539 nt
Filed under: Conus figulinus
Lineage: Eukaryota; Metazoa; Mollusca; Gastropoda; Neogastropoda; Conidae
Description: partial 16S ribosomal RNA
Rfam family: Bacterial large subunit ribosomal RNA
Source: RNAcentral
CGCCUGUUUACCAAAAACAUGGCUUCGUGUGGAUGCUAAGAUACGAAGUCGGGCCUGCCCAGUGAGUUUUAAACGGCCGCGGUACUCUGACCGUGCAAAGGUAGCAUAAUCAUUUGCCUUAUAAUUGAAGGCUGGAAUGAAUGGUUUGACAAGAAUACAGCUGUCUCUUUUAGAUUGUUUAGAAUUUUAUUUCUGAAUGAAAAAGUUCAGAUAUAAUUAAAAGACAAGAAGACCCUAUCGAGCUUUAGAAGAAUUAGUAGAUUUAAUGUUAGUUAAUAUAAGUAAAAGACGAGUCUAUUAAAAAUUUUGGUUGGGGCAACCAAGGAGUAGAUAAAGCCUCCUUUAAGUUAAUAGUCUUACUUGUGUUGAUCCAGAGUUUUUGAUCAAAGGAAUUAGUUACCGUAGGGAUAACAGCAUUAUCUUUUUCAAGAGCCCAUAUCGAAAAAAAGGUUUGUGACCUCGAUGUUGGACCAGAAUGUCCUAAAAGAUGCAGACGUCUUUGAGGGUUGGUCUGUUCGACCAUUAAAAUUCUACCUGAU